This 484-nucleotide ribosomal RNA is filed under the name uncultured bacterium. RNAcentral describes it as "partial 16S ribosomal RNA". It matches the Rfam family "Bacterial small subunit ribosomal RNA", at positions 29 to 523 of the family's 1533-position model. The record is from RNAcentral.
AGUGAACGCUGGCGGCGUGCUUAACACAUGCAAGUCGAACGAGAACGGGCUAUAGCUUGCUAUAGUUGUCAGCUAAGUGGCGCACGGGUGAGUAACGUAUAGGUAAUAUGCCUCUUACUAAGGGAUAACAAAUGGAAACGCUUGCUAAUACCUUAUACUCCUUAUUAACAGAAGUUAAUAAGGGAAAGAUUUAUUGGUAAGAGAUUAGCCUGUAUUGUAUCAGUUAGUUGGUGGGGUAAUGGCUUACCAAGACUAUGACACAUAACUGGUUUGAGAGGAUGAUCAGUCACACUGGAACUGAGACACGGUCCAGACUCCUACGGGAGGCAGCAGUGGGGAAUAUUGCACAAUGGACGAAAGUCUGAUGCAGCAACGCCGCGUGGAGGAUGACACAUUUCGGUGCGUAAACUCCUUUUAUAUGAGAAGAUAAUGACGGUAUUAUAUGAAUAAGCACCGGCUAACUCCGUGCCAGCAGCCGCAGUAA